AGAGUUUGAUCCUGGCUCAGAUUGAACGCUGGCGGCAGGCCUAACACAUGCAAGUCGAACGGUAACAUUUCUAGCUUGCUAGAAGAUGACGAGUGGCGGACGGGUGAGUAAUGCUUGGGAACUUGCCUUUGCGAGGGGGAUAACAGUUGGAAACGACUGCUAAUACCGCAUAAUGUCUUCGGACCAAACGGGGCUUCGGCUCCGGCGCAAAGAGAGGCCCAAGUGAGAUCAGCUAGUUGGUAAGGUAACGGCUUACCAAGGCGACGAUCUCUAGCUGUUCUGAGAGGAAGAUCAGCCACACUGGGACUGAGACACGGCCCAGACUCCUACGGGAGGCAGCAGUGGGGAAUAUUGCACAAUGGGGGAAACCCUGAUGCAGCCAUGCCGCGUGUGUGAAGAAGGCCUUCGGGUUGUAAAGCACUUUCAGUUGUGAGGAAAAGUUAGUAGCUAAUACCUGCUAGCCGUGACGUUAACAACAGAAGAAGCACCGGCUAACUCCGUGCCAGCAGCCGCGGUAAUACGGAGGGUGCGAGCGUUAAUCGGAAUUACUGGGCGUAAAGCGCACGC
RNAcentral lists this ribosomal RNA (567 nucleotides) under uncultured Alteromonas sp. RNAcentral describes it as "bacterial SSU rRNA". It matches the Rfam family "Bacterial small subunit ribosomal RNA", at positions 8 to 572 of the family's 1533-position model. Lineage: Bacteria; Pseudomonadati; Pseudomonadota; Gammaproteobacteria; Alteromonadales; Alteromonadaceae. The record is from RNAcentral.